This 504-nucleotide ribosomal RNA is filed under the name uncultured bacterium. RNAcentral's name for it is "bacterial SSU rRNA". It matches the Rfam family "Bacterial small subunit ribosomal RNA", at positions 777 to 1276 of the family's 1533-position model. The record is from RNAcentral.
ACUAAAUAGACUACCCGGUAGUCCACGACCGUAAACGAUGGAUACUAGCUGUUCGGAGCAAUCUGAGUGGCUAAAGACGAAAAAGUGAUAAGUACUCCCACCGUGGGGAGUACGCACGCAAGUGUGAAACUCAAAGGAAUUGACGGGGGCCCGCACAAGCGGUGGAGCAUGUGGUUUAAUUCGAUGAUACGCGAGGAACCUUACCAGGGCUUAAAUGUAGAUUGACAGGACUGGAAACUAGUUUUUUCUUCGGACAAUUUACAAGGUGCUGCAUGGUUGUCGUCAGCUCGUGCCGUGAGGUGUCAGGUUAAGUCCUAUAACGAGCGCAACCCCUGUCGUUAGUUGCCAGCGAGUCAUGUCGGGAACUCUAACGAGACUGCCAGUGUAAACUGUGAGGAAGGUGGGGAUGACGUCAAAUCAUCACGGCCCUUACGUCCUGGGCCACACACGUGCUACAAUGGUAGGUACAGAGAGCAGCCACUGCGCGAGCAGGAGCGAAUCUAC